RNAcentral lists this transfer RNA (72 nucleotides) under Ovis aries (sheep). It matches the Rfam family "tRNA". Rfam says of the family: Transfer RNA (tRNA) molecules are approximately 80 nucleotides in length. Their secondary structure includes four short double-helical elements and three loops (D, anti-codon, and T loops). Lineage: Eukaryota; Metazoa; Chordata; Mammalia; Artiodactyla; Bovidae. The record is from Rfam by way of RNAcentral.
UCCCUGGCAGUUCAGGGGUUAGGACUCAGCACUUGCACCGCUGGAGCCCGGGUUCAAUCCCUGGUCAGGGAU